UAGCAGUCUCCCCUGACCCUGGUGCUGGCCACCAGGGACACCAUGCUCCCCCAGGGACCUUUGAAAGAUUCACAAGCUGCUUCGAUGUCGUCUAAAGGAUCGAGCUGCGGGAAACAGACCACUUUUCAGGUAUUUCAGAGCUGUGAUAACAAAGGAUAUUUAAGGAAACCUGGAUUUCAAUUUAUCCUCAGAACUUUAAAGAAAGGACCCACAAUUCCCAGAAUCACAGCUUCCGAAACACUUCCUGGUUUUUCCUUUGCGUGGAUACAAAAUAAAAAUCAAAGCUACUUUGGAUGAUGUAAAAAAUGCCAUCUGUGUGACCAUGAGAGAGCAGCGUGAUCCAGAGCCAUCCUGGAGACUUCUAACCCAAGCUGAGGGGGGCUCGCGUGUUCAGAGCUCUCUCUUUUUGGAGACUAAGGAAAUUCUCCUCUUCCUGGACUGUGGGUAAUAACUUCUCUCUCCGUGCGCUAAACGCGGUCUAGACAGUGCCCACCAUGCUUGGGACGGCCAUUCUGUUGUGAGAAGAAGAGGUCACAAGGCUGUCCUCGACAGUAGUGUCUCUUUAAAAGAUGAGGUUUUCUGCUGAGGGCCAUUACCAAGUAGGAAUGACGCAUCGAAAUUUCCUUGCCAAGCGUACCCCAUGCUGCUUAGAGGACAUUCGAUGGGACAUUGCAUGCAUGCUUUAAUAAGGUGACCUUGCUCAAGGACCAAGGUGGAUCCGGGUUUAGAGCUGAUCAGGUUUGAGGAAGUAACCAGCUCCUUGAGUUUAAGGCGUUGCCAGUUUAGGAUAAUGGGUUUUAGGGAAGUUGGAAGUUGAAGAUUAUUGCUGGGAUUAGGGUGUUCCUGCUGCUUGUUCCCGUUGAGUUCUCGUGAGAUUAAAAUGGGAUUUGGAGAUAGCCUCGUGGAGUAGGUGAAUUGUGCGGGAGACGAGAACGCGAUUGCCCCUGGACCUGUGUGGAGGCGGUGUGAGAGCGGGAAUAAAG
RNAcentral lists this long non-coding RNA (983 nucleotides) under Ictidomys tridecemlineatus (thirteen-lined ground squirrel). RNAcentral's name for it is "lncRNA (ENSSTOG00000030455.1)". Lineage: Eukaryota; Metazoa; Chordata; Mammalia; Rodentia; Sciuridae. The record is from RNAcentral.